UACGGAGGGGGCUAGCGUUGUUCGGAAUUACUGGGCGUAAAGCGCACGUAGGCGGUUUUGUAAGUUAGAGGUGAAAUCCCGGAGCUCAACUUCGGAAUUGCCUUUAAGACUGCAUCACUUGGACGUCGGAGAGGUGAGUGGAAUUCCGAGUGUAGAGGUGAAAUUCUUAGAUAUUCGGAAGAACACCAGUGGCGAAGGCGGCUCACUGGACGACUGUUGACGCUGAGGUGCGAAAGCGUGGGGAGCAAACAGG
Molecule: ribosomal RNA, 253 nt
Filed under: uncultured bacterium
Lineage: Bacteria
Description: partial 16S ribosomal RNA
Rfam family: Bacterial small subunit ribosomal RNA
Source: RNAcentral